Apis cerana (Asiatic honeybee) is the source of this 1236-nucleotide long non-coding RNA. RefSeq lists it as uncharacterized. NCBI's taxonomy places the organism in Eukaryota, Metazoa, Arthropoda, Insecta, Hymenoptera, Apidae. The record is from RefSeq and is a predicted model, not a curated record.
UUCAAUUUUUACUUUAAAUGUUUAAUUUUACAAAUGGAUAAUUUUUAUAAUAAAUUAAAUUAAAUAAUUUAUUUUUAUUAUAUUUUCAAUUGACAUAUGUUUGUAAGAUUAUGAUGUAUUUAUAAUUAAAUAAUGAAUAUUUAUAAUAUAUAUAUUCGAUUUUCGCGCGUAAAAUUAAAAUGAAUAAAAAUAAAUUGAAGUAAACCACAUCGCUUCAACUAAUCAAAAAGGCCCAGUAACGAAACGAGUCAGUGCGCAUCAUAAUGCGCAUGGCAGUAGUUCAUAGUUGAAAAUCGUGGUAACGGCUGGUCACGUUUUGUUCUGAAGUGCGAAAUACUUAAAAUUCUUACCGAUAGGAUAUGAUAUUAUAAUUAUUAUUUAUAUUUAACAAUAAGUUUUAAUAAGUUUUGUAUAAUAUGCAUUUGUUUAAUCAUUAUUAUAGCAGAAUUGAAGAUUUUUGAUGAAGAUGACGAAGGAUAAAGAUCAAUUAUCAUUUCAUUGGAACUUCGAAGACAAGAUGGCUUGAAAAAUAUGAUAUAAAAGGAAAAGAAUGAGGAAUAGAAAGAGGAUGUUAGAGCACGGAUGAGUCGAAGAAGAGUCUGACCACAUAUAGAAGAAAAGAUAUUGGCUAUAUGCGUGAAUACAGUGUGUCUUGUUUGAGACAAGGCAAACAAUCAACGAUGACAAACAAUCAUAAAGGGAAUAAGAAUUCAAUUUUCUUCAGACUUCAGCCAGAAUUGAAGAUUUUUGAUGAAGAUGACGAAGGAUAAAGAUCAAUUAUCAUUUCAUUGGAACUUCGAAGACAAGAUGGCUUGAAAAAUUUCUCAUCGAGUAAAUCCCAUGAACCAUAAUGUCAUUGAUGGCAGAUUCUACGCAUCUAAUGGUGAGUCGCAUGUAUUUUUGUUAUUCCGAUCAUUCAAUCAUGUAGGAUGAGAGAUCCAAAUCGAUAUGAAUGUUAUAUAUGUAGAAUUUUGCACAAAUACAGUGAUCAUGGGUAUUUAUUAUACCCAUGAGUAGUAACAGUUUCUUUUUAUUAUUAGCUCAGGUUAGGUCUUUUUAUGUAUUUUCGAAUAUUAAUAAUUUUUCAAAUUGUUUGAUAUUAAAUUAUUGUUAUCUUUAAUUAAACAUUAAGAUUAUUAAGAAUAAUCUGAAUUAAAUGUCAAAUAUUUAAAUAAUAUGCAUUUAUAUUAUAAAUUAGACGAUUUAGAUAUAUAUUAUAAAUGCAACGAUAUUUUG